GACGAACCGCCCGAACGUUGUUCGGAAUCACUGGGCUUAAAGGGAGCGUAGGCGGGCUGCCAAGUCCGGGGUGAAAUCCUCCAGCUUAACUGGAGAACUGCCUCGGAUACUGGAAGUCUCGAGGAGGGUAGGGGCAAGUGGAACCGUGGGUGGAGCGGUGAAAUGCGUUGAUAUCCAUGGGAACUCCGGUGGCGAAGGCGACUUG
This 205-nucleotide ribosomal RNA is filed under the name uncultured bacterium. Its description in RNAcentral is "partial 16S ribosomal RNA". It matches the Rfam family "Bacterial small subunit ribosomal RNA", at positions 524 to 728 of the family's 1533-position model. The record is from RNAcentral.